AACCUCAUGAAAAGGUUGGCUGGA
Molecule: non-coding RNA, 24 nt
Filed under: Cricetulus griseus (Chinese hamster)
Lineage: Eukaryota; Metazoa; Chordata; Mammalia; Rodentia; Cricetidae
Source: RNAcentral